GUCAAACACGGGUUGUUGCUGGCCUCCAAACGGGGGCACGUGCACGCUCUGUUUACACAUCCACUCACACCUGUGCACCCUCUGUAGUCCUAUGGUUCGGAAGACCCCGUCUUCCUUCUGUAGCUCUACGUCUUUACACACACACUGUAGCGAUGUCUCAUGGAAUGUUUUUAUGCGUUUAACGCGAUACAAUACAACUUUCAGCAACGGAUCUCUUGGCUCUCGCAUCGAUGAAGAACGCAGCGAAAUGCGAUAAGUAAUGUGAAUUGCAGAAUUCAGUGAAUCAUCGAAUCUUUGAACGCACCUUGCGCCCCUUGGUUAUUCCUUGGAGCAUGCCUGUUUGAGUAUCAUGAACACCUCAACUCUCAUGGUCUUCCAUGAUGAGCUUGGACUUUGGGGGUUUGCUGGCCCUGCGGCCGGCUCCUCUCAAAUGAAUCAGCUUGCCAGUGUUUGGUGGCAUCACGGGUGUGAUAACUAUCUACGCUCGCGGUCGUCUGCCAGGUAACCCUCAGCGAUGAGGGUUCAUUGGAGCUCAUAAACGUCUCUCCUC
Molecule: small RNA, 550 nt
Filed under: uncultured fungus
Lineage: Eukaryota; Fungi
Description: eukaryotic LSU rRNA
Rfam family: 5.8S ribosomal RNA (bases 196-350)
Source: RNAcentral